UUACGGCCAUAUCACUUUGAGACACAGAUUCUCGUACGAUCGCCGAAGUUAAGCAACGUCUAGCCUCGUCAGUACCUAAAUAGGUGACCGCUUGGAAAUACUAAGUGCUGUAAG
This is a non-coding RNA of Acanthosepion pharaonis, 114 nucleotides long. The record is from the annotation of a GenBank genome assembly. Lineage: Eukaryota; Metazoa; Mollusca; Cephalopoda; Sepiida; Sepiidae.